GUAAAGGUGUGGUCAAAAGCUGACGGAAUCAUAUAAUCUCAUUCAUGCUGGGUGCGUGGUUUCAUUCAUCAACUUGAAUUUCCUUUUCUUUUCAACAAACUCAAUCACACCUCCAAACUCUCUCUACUUCUCUUGGAAUAAUAAGGUUCUGUCUCGGGUCCAUGUUACGUUGUAAGUUGUAACAAAUAGCUGAUAUCAGACCCUUUGUUCAGAGAAUGCUUAAAUGUCUUUAGUAAGGAACCUGUGAGCGCAACUAAGAUCCAGUAACGAGUUCAAGCAACUACUUUCUGUGUGAAUGGGGUAGAAUUUUUGAAGAACUAAAGGAACAAACUAAGAUACUAAGAUGGUGUUGCAUGUCCAUAAGUUGUAUCAAAGUUGGGUUAUGUUAAUCAAGUUUCUGAAUGAUGCUUAUUACAAAGCCUGCGGGUAAGCUUCAAACUCUAAAUUCUAAUUCAAAAUGAACAUUUUUGCAUUGGAUACUUUAGUUUCUGAUAUGGAAAGGUAAAGUGCAUUUAGAAAUGUCAAAGAAAUAAAAAUAGUGUGAGAGAUAGCGAGUUAGGAGAGUGAAAGAGAGAAAAAAGGAGAGGAUCCAUGUCCAUAAUUCAUCGUUAAUUUUGAACUGAAUUUGUAACCGAGUCAAUUACGAUUUUCUUACUUCAAUCAAAACAUGUGGGUGGGGGGGAGGGGGGGGUACAUAUAUAGAGAUAGGAAAGAGGGCUCAAUAGGACUUCUCUAUACUCCUUUUGUUACCUUUUGUAUGAGUAGUACAACUUAGUGACUCAUUUUGUACCCCAAUUUAUUAGAUUCUUACCAUUUUAGCUUCAUGAUAUGUACGUUUAAUUAAACACCAACUUUUGAAAGCUUUGGUUGUUUAUUUCCCUUCAAUUAAACCAUUAAUUACAUUGAUAAAACCAUGUUUUAAUCGAUUAAUUAGACAAAUCAGAUUAGAACUACAAUUGAUCAAGAAUAGUGAAUUGUAGGAGAUUGAUAAAAUCAUGAGUUAAUCAACUAAUUAGACAAUCGAUUAAUUAAAUAAAUCAGAUUAGAACUACAAUUUAUCAAGAAUAGUGAAUUGCAAGAGAUUGAUAAAAUCAUGAGUUAAUCAACUAAUUAGACAAAUCAGUUAUAAAGAAAUUGACAAACCAAAAAAAGAGGUAUUUUAGAAUACCUCAAACUAAUCAAUGUUGAAAUCACGGCAGUGUGCCAGUGUCGAACCCCAGUCUUUGGGGUGGGAGCAAACCAACCCAACCAACUGGACACCGGCGAUGAAUCAAUCGUAAAAAUUGUAUAUACAUGUCUCAUCUUUCAUGUUUUGAGUAACUUAUUUCCUUUUAUUUCUCUAGUAGAUUCUUUCCAUUUUAGCUUGAUGAUAUGUAAGUUUAAUUAAACACCAAAUUUCAAGCUUUGUUUGUUUAUUUCCCUUCAAUUAAUCCAUUAAUUUGAUUGAUAAAACCAUGUUUUAAUCGAUUAGACAAAUCAGAUUAGAACUACAAUUGAUCAAGAAUAGUGAAUUGUAGAGAUUGAUAAAAUCAUGAGUUAAUCAACUAAUUAGACAAAUCAGUUAAAGAAAUAGACAAACCAAAAAAAGAGGUAUUUUAGAAUACCUCAAACUAAUCAAAUGAUGAAAUCACAGUCGCGUGCCAGUGUCGAACCCCAGUCUUUGGGGUGGGGGGAGCAAACCAACCCAACCAACUAGACACCGGCGAUAUAUCAAUUGAAAAAAUUGUAUAUACAUGUCUCAUCUUUCUCUUUCUGAGUUUGUCUUCUAAGAGUCUCUGACGGAGGCGCCAAUGAGGAAGUUAGGUUGCCACAAUUAUUUAUUUUUGUUUUUGCGUGGACAACUUUUCAUCGAACUUAAUUUCCUUUUAUUUCUCUCGUUUUUUUGGACAGUUUCCUUUUAUUUCUUUAUCUAGUAGAUCAUUUCCAAGCUGACCGAUCCUCUCCUGCCUUUUUUGUUUAGCUUUCCCUCCUUUUCUUAAAUCCUUCUUCACUUACUCGAUCAACAAUUGGAUUACUACCACCAUUGGGCCUCACCUCCAAGAAUUUGAUCUCGCCCUCUUUACCGACGGCUUCAACCUCCAUCUCAAUCUCCUCACUUGCUCUAACCUAGUCUUUCUUAGGUAAAACUUCGUCUUCCAUCCUCUUUUAUUCAUUUUUAAUUUUUAGGAUUGAAUAUAUCUUUAGUCUUUAUAAAGUGACUGAAAAGUAUAUAGAAAGUUAGAAACUAAACAAAUCUCUGAGAUAUGAUAGGAUCUAAAAACAUAAUAUGUUUAGUUAGGUUGAUCAAAUUUAAUUGAAAUAUAUGAGUUGAUCCAUGAUGAUAACAUGACAUUCAUCUACUGUAAUGUACAAUGUACUUCAGUGUCUGUGGUUAUAUGACUUAUAUCUUGUUGCUGUUGCAAGAUUCUUUGGGGAUUUUCUUGUCAUCAUUGAAGGUAUCUGAAUAGCCUUUUCUCUAACUGCCCCAUUCUCGAAACUCUAGAACUUUCCUUUAGACCUGGUUCUUUGGCCAAACUUCGGGUGCCAACUACCUCAUCUAAAGCCUUGGCUUCUCUCUUUUCAACUCAAGUGUUCUGCUCGACAUGCUUAAAAAAUGUCCUGUGUUACAAACUCUUAGUGAGCUGCUUUUAGUGCCUAUCAUCUUGUUAGUGUGUAGUUUUGUUACUUUUCAAUUGUUAGUUAGAUGUUAGCUGUUAGCUAUCACUAUGACAAUUAAGUUAUAAUUUCCAUUUUUUGCAGUUGGCUAUUAGUAGCAAUUCUGCAUAUAGGUAGUGCAUUGUACUCCAACAGAUGAUUGGACCUCUGUUCCAAGACAGAAUUUCCUUAUUUAUGUGCUUAACUAGUGCCCCGGGGGCACUGUUUAGCAUUUUCCUUUUUUUUUUUUGCUAUUUAAUUUUAGCUUCUAGCCCAUACUUCUUACACUCUAAGGACAAUGUCAUUGGCGUUAGAACAAGAUGCAAUUUAAUGAUGACAAUCUUCAUCGGCCUACAACUGCUGGUCCUCUGUUUGAGAUGGGAUAGGUGUAAUAUAUAUCAUGCUUUAGAUCCACCCAUAGCACAAAGUUUGCUUGCUUAGUAUGUUAGUUUAAUUAAGUAAUCUCUGCUAUUCAACUAUUUAUUAGCUUUUGUUCUAAGAGAAUAAUCACCAAAUUCAUGCGAAUUUUGAAUACAAAGUUCACUUAAAUAGAUGUUUCAUUUCAAACUACUCUAGUUCUCGUGCUUUCCAACUAAAACAUGAGAUAUAUUGAGUGGUAAGUUUAAUUGGUUGAAGGUAAGAAGGAAUCAACGAAAUGGUUUUCCUAUGUCAAGUGUAAAAAAAAUUCUUGUGUAGGAUAUGUGUGUGUGUAUAAAAUUAGAAGUUUUAUCGCCAUUUGAAAAAAAAUUACAGAGUUUUUUCCUAAGGUCUCAAUACAUGUUUGUGACAUUCCUAGAUACAGGGUAAUAUGGAUGGGGCUAUCAAAGGUAGAUAAUUUAGAGCAAUGGGGGUGUAGAGAUUUAUCGAGAAAUAGGAAUGUUAGAUGGCUUUUAUGGUUUUAACAACCAUAUGGCUUAUUCAACUACUUGUACGGUUGAGUUGAGUUGCACUUGUAUGCUGAGGUUGUGGUUUGAAGCAUCAUUGGCGGACUUUGCUAUAAGUACGAAAAGACGAACGAAUGCAGAAAAUUCAUGUCUUGCUAAGUGAUGACUAGAUUGCUAGAGUUUUUAAUGUUUUGUAUUGUUUUACUGUGAAACUAACUCUUGUGCAAAUGUCUUAGCUAACUUGAGGUGCCUUCCACCUCCUUCUUUGGACGUGCUUCUGCUUCAUACGCCCUAUAUAAAGAUUGUGUCUAAUGGAGUUAUGAACUUACGAGUGUAUGCAAGGUGUUUCCUAAAUCCCUCAAAUAAACAUCUUCUGUCCACACCAUGCUGAAUUGAAAGGUAAAUGUUACUAACUUGUGAAAGCUGUACAACCAUAUAAGUGAAUUUGUUCUGAUUGGAGCUUUUCUCUAAUGACAUGGCAAUCCAACUCAAUGGGCAGAUAAAUGGACGAUUUACUGUUACAAUAGAUAGAGGUUGGUUGAAGAAACUUCACACGAAGGUCUUGAAAAAUGUAGUGAAGCCAUUGUAUUUCAUAGGUUAAAGAAGCUAAGGCCCUGUCUUAUGCUGUCCUGAAGAUCUCGGGGCCAAUUUUCUCCUCGAAUAUGGUAAAGAAUGCUUUCUAACUCCUUGGGUUUGGCAUCGAUUUCCAAUCCUCAGUAGAAAUGUUCUGCACAAAUUCAUCUGACAUAAAAUAAAAAUGGAGAUUUUCAAGAUUCUCCAAGUGUGGGAUGCCAUUGGGUAUCUUCUUCAGUCUUUCGAUUCCUAAAUGCAGCUUUUUCAGAGAAGGCAGUGCUCCUUUGUCAAUAAUAACUGUCAUUGAUUUGGAUUUGAUUUCAUUGCCAACUAAGCUUAGAAGGCAGUGCUCCUUUGUCAAUCUUGCUUUGAUGUAAUCUUUUACACUCACUUUUUUCAUUUUGUAAUAUUUUUCCUUCAUCAAUAUUAUACACUUUUGAGCUAUUUUCUCUCUUCUCCAAUGGAUGAUGCCAUGUUUCUUAACAUGGUAUCAGAGCAAAUUUGGUAUCCACCUUGAAGAAAAUUUUCCGCUGCAUUUUCUCGAGAAAAUUUAUUUUUCUCAACUUUCAUUUUCUAUCGCUCUUUCUUUUCUAUUUUUCCUGAGAAAUUCAAUUCUCUAGUACUGUUAAUUUUCCAUCUGAGAAAAUCACUUUUCUCAUCUAUCGGUUGCGAAUUCCGUUUUCUUGAUUUCAAUUUUGAUUCCGUUUUGCGAAUUUCAUGAUUCCAAUUCAUGUUCUAGAUCCGAUUUCUUGAUUUCUUUUCGAUUUGAUUCUUGUUCCGUGUUCGAUUGCGAUUUUGUUUUAAUCGCAACUUUAAUCUCUUCCUUUUUCCCCAAAUUCUAGGGUUUGCGAUUCCAUUUGCAAUCGCAUUUCAGUUCACUGAAUCACUCA
Molecule: long non-coding RNA, 4981 nt
Organism: Trifolium pratense (red clover)
Lineage: Eukaryota; Viridiplantae; Streptophyta; Magnoliopsida; Fabales; Fabaceae
Exons: 3
Source: RefSeq, a predicted model, not a curated record